GGGAAGUCGAGCCUGUCCACUGAAGUAAGUURAAGGACCGCGGUAUUUUGACCGUGCAAAGGUAGCAUAAUCAUUAGUCUUUUAAUUGAGGGCUGGUAUGAAUGGUUUGAYGAAAUGGUCAUUGUCUCUAAUAUAAUUAAUUGAAUUUUACUUUUAAGUUAAAAGACUUAAAUGUUAAUAAGGGACGAGAAGACCCUAUAGAUCUUUAUAAUAAAUGUUUAUUAUUAAUUUUGGUUGCGUAAUUAUUWUAUGAGUAUUWAUUAUUUUAUUGGGGURAUAUGAGAAUAUAAUAACUUCUUAUUUUUUAACUUUGAUAGAUGGCUUAGUGAUCCUUUAUUAUGGAAUGAAGAUUWUGAUACCUUGGGGAUAACAGCGUUUUUUUAUUGGAGAGUUCUUAUUGWUAAAAUAGAUUGCGACCUCUMUGUUGGAUUAAGAUCCUACACCAAAAUAUAUWGGUGUAGGUGCUGAUAAUAAUUGGUCUGUUU
This 485-nucleotide ribosomal RNA is filed under the name Cardiodactylus canotus. RNAcentral's name for it is "partial 16S ribosomal RNA". The stretch from base 1 to 171 matches the Rfam family "Archaeal large subunit ribosomal RNA", at positions 1942 to 2146 of the family's 2987-position model. Lineage: Eukaryota; Metazoa; Arthropoda; Insecta; Orthoptera; Gryllidae. The record is from RNAcentral.